GACGAACGCUGGCGGCGUGCUUGACACAUGCAAGUCGAACGGUGAUGCUCCAGCUUGCUGGAGUGGAUCAGUGGCGAACGGGUGAGUAACACGUGAGCAACCUGCCCCAGACUCUGGAAUAAGCGCUGGAAACGGCGUCUAAUACUGGAUACGAAACUGGCCCGCAUGGGCAUGGUUUGGAAAGUUUUUCGGUUUGGGAUGGGCUCGCGGCCUAUCAGCUUGUUGGUGAGGUAAUGGCUCACCAAGGCGACGACGGGUAGCCGGCUUGAGAGGGCGACCGGCCACACUGGGACUGAGACACGGCCCAGACUCCUACGGGAGGCAGCAGUGGGGAAUAUUGCACAAUGGGCGAAAGCCUGAUGCAGCGACGCCGCGUGAGGGAUGACGGCCUUCGGGUUGUAAACCUCUUUCAGCAGGGAAGAAGCGAAAGUGACGGUACCUGCAGAAGAAGCACCGGCUAACUACGUG
Molecule: ribosomal RNA, 468 nt
Filed under: uncultured bacterium
Lineage: Bacteria
Description: partial 16S ribosomal RNA
Rfam family: Bacterial small subunit ribosomal RNA
Source: RNAcentral